This 430-nucleotide ribosomal RNA is filed under the name uncultured archaeon. RNAcentral describes it as "bacterial SSU rRNA". It matches the Rfam family "Archaeal small subunit ribosomal RNA", at positions 474 to 903 of the family's 1478-position model. The record is from RNAcentral.
UACCAGCUCUCCGAGUGGUAGGGAUGAUUAUUGGGCUUAAAGCAUCCGUAGCUGGCUGGGCAAGUCCCCUGUUAAAUCCACCGAUUUAAUCGUUGGAGUGCGGGGGAUACUGUUCGGCUAGGGGACGGGAGAGGCAGACGGUAUUUUCGGGGUAGGGGUGAAAUCCUAUAAUCCCGGGAAGACCACCAGUGGCGAAGGCUGUCUGCUAGAACGCGCCCGACGGUGAGGGAUGAAAGCUGGGGGAGCGAACCGGAUUAGAUACCCGGGUAGUCCCAGCUGUAAACGAUGCAGGCUAGGUGUUUGGGCGGCCACGUGCCGCUCUAGUGCCGCAGGGAAGCCGUUAAGCCUGCCGCCUGGGGAGUACGGCCGCAAGGCUGAAACUUAAAGGAAUUGGCGGGGGAGCACCACGAAGGGGUGAAGCUUGCGGUUU